This 499-nucleotide ribosomal RNA is filed under the name uncultured fungus. Its description in RNAcentral is "SSU rRNA". It matches the Rfam family "Eukaryotic small subunit ribosomal RNA", at positions 248 to 749 of the family's 1831-position model. Lineage: Eukaryota; Fungi. The record is from RNAcentral.
GAUUCAUAAUAACUUCUCGAAUCGCACGGCCUUGCGCCGGCGAUGGUUCAUUCAAAUUUCUGCCCUAUCAACUUUCGACGGCUGGGUCUUGGCCAGCCGUGGUGACAACGGGUAACGGAGGGUUAGGGCUCGACCCCGGAGAAGGAGCCUGAGAAACGGCUACUACAUCCAAGGAAGGCAGCAGGCGCGCAAAUUACCCAAUCCCGACACGGGGAGGUAGUGACAAUAAAUACUGAUACAGGGCUCUUUCGGGUCUUGUAAUUGGAAUGAGUACAAUUUAAAUCCCUUAACGAGGAACAAUUGGAGGGCAAGUCUGGUGCCAGCAGCCGCGGUAAUUCCAGCUCCAAUAGCGUAUAUUAAAGUUGUUGAGGUUAAAAAGCUCGUAGUUGAACCUUGGGCCUAGCCGGCCGGUCCGCCUCACCGCGUGCACUGGCUCGGCUGGGUCUUUCCUUCUGGAGAACCGCAUGCCCUUCACUGGGUGUGCCGGGGAACCAGGACU